This 876-nucleotide long non-coding RNA is filed under the name Pan troglodytes (chimpanzee). RNAcentral describes it as "long non-coding RNA NONPTRT015714". The record is from RNAcentral. Lineage: Eukaryota; Metazoa; Chordata; Mammalia; Primates; Hominidae.
GUGGUGGGGGUGGGGAAGGAGGGUAGGGAUGCCGGGGGCCACUCCUGCGUGGUGCGAGUGGGAACGCGCGCGCGCGCCUGGGUGUGUGUUGUUAGCUGAUAUCCAUGGCAGCUGCAGUGGCAGGGUGCGUGUGCGUGUGUGUGUGUACUAGUUGUACUGUACUGGCAGAGGGGAGGAGGCAGGGGAGGAGGGGCGCGCGCGCCGGGUGGGGAGCCACGGAGGGCUUCGCCGCUGCCUCCCUCCCUCCCUCCGCAGCUUGACCCGGUAGUGAAGGCAGAGAGAGAGGCAGGCUGGGUCCGCCUGGCAGCCUACGGGAGGAGGCGGGAGCCGGGAAGGAGGGGAGCCGAGGCCCGGCGUGGGGAGGCCGGCAGGAAGGGCCUCGAGCCCAGUGCGGACCUUUCUUCAGCCUCUGUGCUACCGAGCCGCGCGCCAGGCUCCUGUGCGAGGAGGACGCGCUGACUCCCUCCGACCUGGGCUCCGAUGGAGCAGAAAUAGCGGGACCUGGACUUGUGGCGCGCCUGGUGCCACAUCUCGGGCUCUGCGAGCGUCCUGGCGCGGGAUCCUGCCGUUUGCAUCCAAGAGAGGGGAGGACAGGGGCUAAAGGAUGCAGGGAGGCUGCUGAUUUCCACUGAAGAGCUAAUUUCCUGUGAGACAUUAACAGUGAUUUAAGAAAAAGAUUCCUGUAACUGUAAUGUCUUACAAUAACAGAAUGCAGGAGAGCACAUAUCAAUGAAGAAAAGACAAAAUGUACUUAUCCAUGAAGCUGAGGUUAAGAAACCAGUGUCUUCAAGAGCCAAGGACAGCACUGGGUCUGUGCAGAGUUGAGAGAUGGUGAUGACAUGUGGUUUCCAGCAUUCUUGGCCCAGUCUGGGAUUC